This 253-nucleotide ribosomal RNA is filed under the name uncultured bacterium. RNAcentral describes it as "partial 16S ribosomal RNA". It matches the Rfam family "Bacterial small subunit ribosomal RNA", at positions 524 to 776 of the family's 1533-position model. The record is from RNAcentral.
UACGGAGGGUGCAAGCGUUAAUCGGAAUUACUGGGCGUAAAGCGCACGCAGGUGGCUGAGAAAGUCGAUUGUGAAAGCCCUGGGCUUAACCUGGGAAUUGCAGUCGAAACUACUCGGCUAGAGUAUGGGAGAGGGUAGUGGAAUUCCCGGUGUAGCGGUGAAAUGCGUAGAUAUCUGGAGGAACAUCGGUGGCGAAGGCGGCAUCCUGGACCGGUAUUGACGCUGAGGCGCGAAAGCCAGGGGAGCAAACGGG